UAGGAGUGCAAAUCAUUGGCUUCACCCCAAACCUGCUGCAUCAGAAACGCCGAGCUGAACAGUUGUUUUUCAAAGGAAGUCCAACAUGUAAAAAUAGAUGUCAGGGGGAGUUGCUCUGAUUGAAUCAAGAAGAGUCGAGGAAGUGCCUGCUGGGGACUCCACCUGGGACCCCUUGGAGCAUCAUUUGAAAAUCACUCCCACGAACUAUUUGCAGAAAGAAAUGCUGACGUCCUCGUAAAAUGGUUCUGCUGCUGUUUGUUGGCCAGAAGAUAGCGGCCUGGCACAGCCGCUUGAAAGAUCACUCACUCUGGGGGAAGCAAGCCUUGCUGUGAGCAGCCUUAGGCAGAGGCCCACAUGGUUAGGAAAUGAAGUUUACAGCCACCAAGGAACUGAGGCCUGUCAUCAGCCAUGUGCGUGUCCUUGAAGUGGAUCCUGAGCCUUCAGGGGACAACAGCCCUGGCCCACAGCUUGGCUGUAAUUCCGUGAGCGACUGUAAGCCAGAAGCCCAGUCUCAAAUUUCUUUCAAAGCAUCACUGUGCCCAGAAUAAAAACCAAUCAACCAACCAACCAACCAACCAACCAACCAACCAAGCAAGCAGAAGUUACCCAAGAAGAAAAAUGGGACUGGGUCUACAGAAUCAGAGCAUGUUGGAUCUUGGCUGCUGAAACACAAAGCAAAACACUCUUCUCAGUUGUAUUUUAGACUCAUACUUAAAACAAAACAAAAUAACAAACAUUUUUGACUCCUUCUCUGGGGAGCUUGAGCGAUGAGGAAAUCAUCAGAGACGAUUUCUUUAACAGUUUGACCCUACCCUGUCCCCAUCCUAGGAACCAGACUGCUGGACUUGGCCAAGAAUAAAUGGAACUUGAGUUUCAAAAUCCUCCUGCCCAAUAAUGUUUCAAAUUUGUAGCCUUUGAAGAUGAUGAAGAUGUGAAAUGUAGCAAACUGAAUUGAGCAUUUACCAACAAGUGUUUGGAGAAUUCUCUUGCCUUUUUGGGCAAGAACCUGUUUACAGACAUGAUUGUAAGAACCCUGCUUUUUAUUCUCCUCAGUAACUGGGGCUGCCCAAAGUCUGAAGCUCUCUUAUCUGCCCAGACAGUCUUUGAUCCACCCACCUUAAACAGAACAGGAAAAAGGGUUUGUUUUAGCUUUGUUUUUAAGCAUUGUCACACCCUAAGUGGAAAAUUUUUAGGUUAUAUAUUAGACUAGACAAAUUAAAAACAUCUAAAAACAACACCUCAAAAUGUGUUUAUAAUUUAAUGUGGAAAUGAAUAAAAAAUGGGUUCAAUUUUGGGUUAAAAUUAACAAAAAAAGUUG
Molecule: long non-coding RNA, 1318 nt
Organism: Hippopotamus amphibius kiboko
Lineage: Eukaryota; Metazoa; Chordata; Mammalia; Artiodactyla; Hippopotamidae
Exons: 4
Source: RefSeq, a predicted model, not a curated record